GGGCCAGGUGCACUUGGAGCUAUUAUAUUGUCCUUAUGGCAUGACAAAUGGAUUCAGUAACCCUUUUGCCAAUAAUGUACCAUUGACUUCACUGGAGAAGGUUCUUAAAAGUGGAGUAGAAGCUGCCCAAAAUGGAGGUGAAAUCAACAGGAGGAAGGAUGUAAUAGUACGAGGGGUACUCUCUGUAACCGUGAUAUCAGCUGAGGAAGGAUGUAAUAGUACGAGGGGUACUCUCUGUAACCGUGAUAUCAGCUGAGGAUCUGGCCCCUACUGAUCUACUGGGGAAAGCUGAUCCAUAUGUUGUAGUUACAAUGAAGAAGACUGAAACAAAGAACAAAACCAGGGUUGUACCAGAAAGCUUAAAUCCAGUAUGGAAUCAGACUUUUGACUUUGUCGUUGAGGACGGAUUGCAUGAUAUGUUAAUUCUAGAAGUUUGGGACCAUGACACCUUCGGAAAGGAUUACAUGGGAAGGUGCAUAUUGACAUUGACAAGAGUACUAAUGGAAGGUGAAUAUAAAGAAACCUUUGAACUAGAUGGAGCUAAAUCAGGGAAACUGAACUUGCAUCUCAAAUGGGCACCACAGCCUAUAUACAGAGACUCCUAAUGAUUUAAUAUCAUAUGAUAUGUUGUUGUUUUUGUAAGAGUUGUACAGACACAAGUUUCUUCGAUUCUGUAUGUCGAUCGUAGACUAUAUGAAAAUUUGUAGAGUGAUAGUAGUACAUUUUUGUAGAUAAUUGUUCUGUUAAUGCUGAGUUGGCCUACUACAUAUGUAGUUUAGAGAGAAAAAGCAUUUUGCUUGGUUAAAAGGAAUUUAUGUAGAGAGGUGGCAUAAGGCAGCAGUUUCUUUUUGGAAAAAUUACAAGGUGUUGCAGCUUUUCA
Molecule: unclassified non-coding RNA, 880 nt
Filed under: Hevea brasiliensis (rubber tree)
Lineage: Eukaryota; Viridiplantae; Streptophyta; Magnoliopsida; Malpighiales; Euphorbiaceae
Source: RNAcentral